Molecule: ribosomal RNA, 832 nt
Filed under: euryarchaeote D4.75-4
Lineage: Archaea; Methanobacteriati; Methanobacteriota
Description: bacterial SSU rRNA
Rfam family: Archaeal small subunit ribosomal RNA
Source: RNAcentral
GGUCACCGCUAUUGGGAUUCGAUUAAGCCAUGCGAGUCGAGAGGGUUCGGCCCUCGGCGGACUGCUCAGUAACACGUGGAUAAUCUGCCCUAUGGUGGAGGAUAACCUCGGGAAACUGAGAAUAAUACUCCAUAGAUCCAAGAGGCUGGAAUGCGCUUGGAUCGAAAGUUCCGGCGCCAUAGGAUGAGUCUGCGGACUAUCAGGUUGUAGUCAGGGUAACGUCCUGACUAGCCAACGACGGAUACGGGUUGUGAGAGCAAUAACCCGGAGAUGAUGUCUGAGACACGACAUCGGGCCCUACGGGGCGCAGCAGGCGCGAAACCUUCACACUGUGCGAGAGCGCGAUAAGGGGAUCCCAAGUGCUAACUCGAAAGAGUUAGCUGUUUACCUGUUUAAAACGCAGGUAGAGUAAGGACUGGGUAAGACGGCUGCCAGCCGCCGCGGUAAUAGCUGCAGUCCAAGUGGUGACCGCUAUUAUUGGGCCUAAAACGUCCGUAGCCGGUCUGGUAAAUGCCUGGGUAAAUUGUGCCGCUCAACGGUACGAAUUCCGGGUAGACUGCCAGGCUUGAGACCGGGAGAGGUUAGAGGUACUCUUGGGGUAGAGGUGAAAUUCUGUAAUCCUGAGAGGACCACCUGUGGCGAAAGCGUCUAACCAGAACGGGUCUGACGGUGAGGGACGAAGCCCUGGGUCACAAACCGGAUUAGAUACCCGGGUAGUCCAGGGUGUAAACGCUGCUUGCUUGAUGUUAGCUGGGCUACGAGCCCAACUAGUGUCGGAGAGAAGUUGUUAAGCAAGCUGCCUGGGAAAUACGGUCGCAAGGCUGGAACUUAA